RNAcentral lists this transfer RNA (92 nucleotides) under Terriglobia bacterium. RNAcentral describes it as "tRNA-OTHER". It matches the Rfam family "Selenocysteine transfer RNA". Lineage: Bacteria; Pseudomonadati; Acidobacteriota; Terriglobia. The record is from RNAcentral.
UGGAGGGUGUUGCCAGUGGGCACUGGACGCCGUCUGUAAAACGGUCGAGUGGCCUUAGCCAGCCACUAGGGUUCGACUCCCUCGCCCUCCGC